UUUUAAGUUCAAAGCCUACUUACUUUAUAUUUCUAAUUAAAUUUAAUUUUUUUUAAAAAUAAACGAAACAGAUGGCAUAUUAUCUUUCUCUAAUAUAUAUAUAUAUAUAUAUAUAUCACGGCUAUGGCUACUAUACUCAUAUGAGUAUAUAUAGAGCCCCUUAUACUCAUAAUUUUUUAACCGUUCAGAUAAAAAAUGUGUGGUUAGGAUGAGAGUGAUUAUAGUAGGUUGAUAGUGGGCCCCUAGAGUUGAGUGGAUGGUUGGUUGAAUAGUAUGAUCUAGCGAGUGAAAAUGAUUAAAGGGUAGAUCAAACGACAAAAAAUUUAUAAGUAUAAGAGACUCUAUACUUAUAAAAGUAUAGUAGCCGAACUCUAUAUAUCACUAAGAUCUACAGUAAAUUU
RNAcentral lists this long non-coding RNA (401 nucleotides) under Ananas comosus (pineapple). RNAcentral's name for it is "long non-coding RNA (ACOM_LNC027321)". The record is from RNAcentral. Lineage: Eukaryota; Viridiplantae; Streptophyta; Magnoliopsida; Poales; Bromeliaceae.